This 921-nucleotide unclassified non-coding RNA is filed under the name Haliotis rufescens (red abalone). RNAcentral's name for it is "uncharacterized LOC125376124, transcript variant X6". Lineage: Eukaryota; Metazoa; Mollusca; Gastropoda; Lepetellida; Haliotidae. The record is from RNAcentral.
GUCGAGUGACAUACUGUAGCUUUCAGAAGUCGUAAAUUGUGAUUUUUUGAACGUAGCCGUCGGCGUACAUUUAACUGAGCCUAGCUUUCGUUUUUCUUUUUCAGCUCGGGAGGACAUAAUUCGCUAUUAUGGCACUCCUGCGGCUGUGAGUUUGUGGCCGUCUCAGGAUGAGGAGUCCGACUGUAAAAAACGAUCGCUUUUGCUCCGCUGACCUCUACGUUUUGCUCACUGCUGUAUCAUUCCAAGUGUUUCUUCUUCCAAGAUGAAUACAAGGCUUCACAUUCAAGCUCGGGAGGACAUAAUUCGCUAUUAUGGCACUCCUGCGGCUGUGAGUUUGUGGCCGUCUCAGGAUGAGGAGUCCGACUGUAAAAAACGAUCGCUUUUGCUCCGCUGACCUCUACGUUUUGCUCACUGCUGUAUCAUUCCAAGUGUUUCUUCUUCCAAGAUGAAUACAAGGCUUCACAUUCAAGCUCGGGAGGACAUAAUUCGCUAUUAUGGCACUCCUGCGGCUGUGAGUUUGUGGCCGUCUCAGGAUGAGGAGUCCGACUGUAAAAAACGAUCGCUUUUGCUCCGCUGACCUCUACGUUUUGCUCACUGCUGUAUCAUUCCAAGUGUUUCUUCUUCCAAGAUGAAUACAAGGCUUCACAUUCAAGGUAUUUAAGAUCACAAUUAUUCCACUUAACAGUAUUAAGAUGUUAAAUUAGACGUGAAAUUGGUCGUUGUUAGGCAGCUGUAUCGGGACUGAAGAUGGCGGCCGCCAUUUGCAAUUGUCUUAACUGAACAUUUUAGAUUGUAAACUUGACAUGUGGUGCUCAGAUGAAACCUGUUCGUACAUUAUAGUGUCGGGCGAUGUAGUACAGAUGUAAGAUAACCUGUAUUACGUGAAAAGCAGCUGUUUGGCCCAUUUUAUUGGUUAAACGU